UAGAUGCGAGAGUAGAGCAUAUCAAUAAGCGGAGGAAAAGAAACUAACAAGGAUUCCCUUAGUAACGGCGAGUGAAGCGGGAAGAGCUCAAAUUUGAAAUCUUCAAGGUUUUACCUUGACGAAUUGUAGUUUAAAGAAGUGUUUUCUGUUGGAGUUUUGGUAAAAGUUCUUUGGAAUAGGACAUCAUAGAGGGUGAGAAUCCCGUAUUUGACCAUUAUUUCCAGCUGUGUGAUACACUUUCAAAGAGUCGGAUUGUUUGGGAAUGCAGUCCAAAAUGGGUGGUAAAUUUCAUCUAAAGCUAAAUAUUGGCGAGAGACCGAUAGCGAACAAGUACCGUGAGGGAAAGAUGAAAAGAACUUUGAAAAGAGAGUUAAACAGUACGUGAAAUUGUCAAAAGGGAAGCGUUUGACACCAGUGUUGUUUUCUCGAAAAUCAAUUAAAAAUGAUGGGAUUUUGUGUUGUAUUGACUUUAUCAGCUUUCUGCACUUUUUUCUUAUCUUUUUUAAUGCACUUUUCGUUUAACAAGUCAACAUCAAUUUCUUUUGUUGUAAAAGAGUCAUUGGAAGGUGGCUUUUUCUUCGGAAAAAGUGUUUAUAGCCUUUGGCUUCUGCAAUCGGAGAGAUUGAGGUCUGCAGCGUAGAUCCUUCGGGGUUAGAUACAUUUGUGCUAAGCUAUAGUUCUUUAUAGACAACUUGUUGACUAUAAUCAAUCCUGUAACUUACUCGCUUAUGCUAUUUUACCUACGCUUAGGAUGUUGACACACGCGCGUGCUCG
This 774-nucleotide ribosomal RNA is filed under the name uncultured Neocallimastigales. RNAcentral's name for it is "partial large subunit ribosomal RNA". It matches the Rfam family "Eukaryotic large subunit ribosomal RNA", at positions 22 to 644 of the family's 3401-position model. The record is from RNAcentral. Lineage: Eukaryota; Fungi; Neocallimastigomycota; Neocallimastigomycetes; Neocallimastigales.